CCUACGGGGGACAGCAGUGAGGAAUAUUGGUCAAUGGGCGGAAGCCUGAACCAGCCAAGUAGCGUGCAGGAUGACGGCCCUACGGGUUGUAAACUGCUUUUAUACGGGAAUAACGCGCCUUACGUGUAGGGCUUUGCAUGUACCGUAUGAAUAAGGACCGGCUCAUUCCGUGCCAGCAGCCGCGGUAAUACGGAAGGUCCGGGCGUUAUCCGGAUUUAUUGGGUUUAAAGGGAGCGUAGGCCGCAUGUCAAGCGUGCUGUGAAAUGUCCGGGCUCAACCCGGGCCUUGCAGCGCGAACUGGCGUGCUUGAGUCCGCGGAAAGCAGGCGGAAUUCGUCGUGUAGCGGUGAAAUGCUUAGAUAUGACGAAGAACCCCGAUUGCGAAGGCAGCCUGCUGCAGCGGAACUGACGCUGAUGCUCGAAAGCGCGGGUAUCGAACAGGAUUAGAUACCCCUGUAGUC
This 460-nucleotide ribosomal RNA is filed under the name uncultured bacterium. RNAcentral describes it as "partial 16S ribosomal RNA". It matches the Rfam family "Bacterial small subunit ribosomal RNA", at positions 338 to 795 of the family's 1533-position model. The record is from RNAcentral.